AGCGAACGCUGGCGGCAGGCUUAACACAUGCAAGUCGAGCGGGCAUCCUUGUGGUGUCAGCGGCAGACGGGUGAGUAACGCGUGGGAACGUGCCCUUCGGUUCGGAAUAACUCAGGGAAACUUGAGCUAAUACCGGAUACGUGCGAGAGCAGAAAGGUUUAUCUGCCGAAGGAUCGGCGCGCGUCUGAUUAGCUAGUUGGUGAGGUUACGGCUCACCAAGGCGACGAUCAGUAGCUGGUCUGAGAGGAUGGUCAGCCACACUGGGACUGAGACACGGCCCAGACUCCUACGGGAGGCAGCAGUGGGGAAUAUUGGACAAUGGGGGCAACCCUGAUCCAGCCAGGCCGCGUGAGUGAUGACGGCCUUAGGGUUGUAAAGCUCUUUUCUCCGGGACGAUAAUGACGGUACCGGAGGAAUAAGCCCCGGCUAACUUCGUG
Molecule: ribosomal RNA, 437 nt
Filed under: uncultured bacterium
Lineage: Bacteria
Description: partial 16S ribosomal RNA
Rfam family: Bacterial small subunit ribosomal RNA
Source: RNAcentral